RNAcentral lists this ribosomal RNA (301 nucleotides) under uncultured bacterium. RNAcentral describes it as "partial 16S ribosomal RNA". It matches the Rfam family "Bacterial small subunit ribosomal RNA", at positions 509 to 807 of the family's 1533-position model. The record is from RNAcentral.
CAGUCGCCACGGGAACACGUAGGGUGCGAGCGUUAAUCGGAAUUACUGGGCGUAAAGCGUGCGCAGGCGGUUGUGUAAGACAGGUGUGAAAUCCCCGGGCUUAACCUGGGAACUGCGCUUGUGACUGCACAGCUAGAGUAUGGCAGAGGGGGGUGGAAUUCCACGUGUAGCAGUGAAAUGCGUAGAGAUGUGGAGGAACACCGAUGGCGAAGGCAGCCCCCUGGGCCAAUACUGACGCUCAUGCACGAAAGCGUGGGGAGCAAACAGGAUUAGAUACCCCCGUAGUCCCUGUCUCUUAUAC